CAUUACUGAGGUUAAAACAGGUCUGAGACUCUUGUGUGCUCGACUUGUAAUAUACACACACCUGUGCACUUUAAUAUAAAAACCUGUUAUAUGCAUGUAUUUGAGCUCUACGGAGCAAAUUAAAACAACUUUCAACAACGGAUCUCUUGGCUUUCGCAUCGAUGAAGAACGCAGCGAAUUGCGAAAAGUAAUGUGAAUUGCAGAAUUCAGUGAAUCAUCGAAUCUUUGAACGCAUCUUGCGCUCCUUGGUAUUCCGAGGAGCAUGCCUGUUUGAGAGUCGUGAAAUACCUCAAUUUCUUACUUUUGUGUGAAAUUGGACUUGGGUUUGCUGUGAUCAGCUCACCUUAAAUGCAUUAGUGAUGAGUUCUGAUAACAUCAAUACAUCAUAAAGAUUGUUGUGUUGAGGGUCAGACUGUUGCUUUACACUCUUAUGUCAUUUGACCUCAAAUCAGGCAGGACUACCCGCUGAACUUAAGCAUAUCAAUA
This 486-nucleotide ribosomal RNA is filed under the name Myriostoma coliforme. RNAcentral describes it as "eukaryotic LSU rRNA". The stretch from base 127 to 280 matches the Rfam family "5.8S ribosomal RNA". The record is from RNAcentral. Lineage: Eukaryota; Fungi; Basidiomycota; Agaricomycetes; Geastrales; Geastraceae.